Molecule: ribosomal RNA, 468 nt
Filed under: uncultured bacterium
Lineage: Bacteria
Description: partial 16S ribosomal RNA
Rfam family: Bacterial small subunit ribosomal RNA
Source: RNAcentral
GACGAACGCUGGCGGCGUGCUUAACACAUGCAAGUCGAACGGAAAGGCCCUGCUUUUGUGGGGUGCUCGAGUGGCGAACGGGUGAGUAACACGUGAGUAACCUGCCCUUGACUUUGGGAUAACUUCAGGAAACUGGGGCUAAUACCGGAUAGGAGCUCCUGCUGCAUGGUGGGGGUUGGAAAGUUUCGGCGGGUGGGGAUGGACUCGCGGCUUAUCAGCUUGUUGGUGGGGUAGUGGCUUACCAAGGCUUGGACGGGUAGCCGGCCUGAGAGGGUGACCGGCCACAUUGCGCCUGCGGUACGGCGCAGACUCCUACGGGAGGCAGCAGUGGGGAAUAUUGCACAAUGGGCGGAAGCCUGAUGCAGCAACGCCGCGUGCGGGAUGACGGCCUUCGGGUUGUAAACCGCUUUCGCCUGUGACGAAGCGUGAGUGACGGUAAUGGGUAAAGAAGCACCGGCUAACUACGUG